RNAcentral lists this ribosomal RNA (368 nucleotides) under uncultured organism. RNAcentral describes it as "bacterial SSU rRNA". It matches the Rfam family "Bacterial small subunit ribosomal RNA", at positions 526 to 896 of the family's 1533-position model. The record is from RNAcentral.
CGAAGGAUCCAAGCGUUGUCCGGAUUUACUGGGUUUAAAGGGUGCGUAGGCGGACUUAUAAGUCAGUGGUGAAAGCCUUCAGCUUAACUGAAGAACUGCCAUUGAAACUGUAAGUCUCGAGUUCGGUUGAGGUCAUUGGAAUGUAACAUGUAGCGGUGAAAUGCAUAGAUAUGUUACAGAACACCGAUUGCGAAGGCAGAUGACUAAACCGAAACUGACGCUGAGGCACGAAAGCGUGGGGAUCAAACAGGAUUAGAUACCCUGGUAGUCCACGCCCUAAACGUUGAAUACUCGACCUUAGCGAUAUACAGUUAGGGUCCAAGCGAAAGCGUUAAGUAUUCCACCUGGGAAGUACGUUCGCAAGAAUG